UGGGGUAUAGCUCAGUUGGUAGAGUGUUUGCCUCAUGUGCACAAAGCUCUAGGUUCAAUCCCCAGCACCACAA
This 73-nucleotide transfer RNA is filed under the name Marmota monax (woodchuck). It matches the Rfam family "tRNA". Rfam says of the family: Transfer RNA (tRNA) molecules are approximately 80 nucleotides in length. Their secondary structure includes four short double-helical elements and three loops (D, anti-codon, and T loops). The record is from Rfam by way of RNAcentral. Lineage: Eukaryota; Metazoa; Chordata; Mammalia; Rodentia; Sciuridae.